RNAcentral lists this microRNA precursor (67 nucleotides) under Bombyx mori (domestic silkworm). Its description in RNAcentral is "mir-2774 microRNA precursor family". It matches the Rfam family "mir-2774 microRNA precursor family". Lineage: Eukaryota; Metazoa; Arthropoda; Insecta; Lepidoptera; Bombycidae. The record is from Rfam by way of RNAcentral.
CGAACAUUCGGAUCAUCGGUCUACAGAGUAAUAUCACCCGCUCGGUGGAAGAUUUUCCCUUUGUCGU